Molecule: ribosomal RNA, 874 nt
Filed under: Enterococcus durans
Lineage: Bacteria; Bacillati; Bacillota; Bacilli; Lactobacillales; Enterococcaceae
Description: partial 16S ribosomal RNA
Source: RNAcentral
ACUCACGUCUUCUCCUCUCACCUUAAGGUACACAUCGCCACUUUACGCAUCUAUAUACCUCCUUGUGGUCACCGCUUCCGCCGAGAGACCAGACAUUGACUGCGACUCCGAGCUUUCGCACCCCUCGUUUGUCCUAAUCUAUGGGACCAUCAGGUGCGGCAUUUGCUACUCACGAUUCACAACCUCCCAAAGGCGGGAAGUCACGGCGCGAUAUACGACACGUCGAUUGCGUAAUUCGUGAGGCGGACCCCUCAUGCUGGCGUUCCAACUUUGAGUUUCCUUAACUGCCCCCGGGCGUGUUCGCCACCUCGUACACCAAAUUAAGCUUCGUUGCGCUUCUUGGAAUGGUCCAGAACUGUAGGAAACUGGUGAGCGACUAUCUCUAUCUCGAAGGGGAAGCCCCCGUUUCACUGUCCACCACGUACCAACAGCAGUCGAGCACAGCACUCUACAACCCAAUUCAGGGCGUUGCUCGCGUUGGGAAUAACAAUCAACGGUAGCGCUUAARUCAACCCGUGAGAUCGUUCUGACGGCCACUGUUUGGCCUCCUUCCACCCCUACUGCAGUUUAGUAGUACGGGGAAUACUGGACCCGAUGUGUGCACGAUGUUACCCUUCAUGUUGCUCAGCGCUUCAGCGCUCCGAUUCGAUUAGAGAAUUUCGAAGAGAGUCAAGCCUAACAUCCGACGUUGAGCGGAUGUACUUCGGCCCGAUCUCGACUAUUAGCGAUCAUUAGCGCCUAGUCGUGCGGCGCCACUUAUGCAAGGGCCCGGAACAUGUGUGGCGGGCAGUGUGGUGCUCUCAAACAUUGUGGGCUUCAGCCACUCCAUUGGAAAACCUCGGUCGGCGGAUUCCACCCUAUCUACUAACCCCAC